AUUUCGUGAUGAGGGAACUUCCAUAAUUAUUUUUUGUACCUUUCCCAUACCUUAUACAAGGACACAUCAUCUAUUUGUUGGAAAGUAGUAAUCUCGUUCCUUAACUU
Small nucleolar RNA from Gossypium raimondii (Peruvian cotton), 107 nucleotides. It matches the Rfam family "Plant small nucleolar RNA R71". Rfam says of the family: R71 is a member of the C/D box family of snoRNAs containing the C (UGAUGA) and D (CUGA) box motifs. Multiple nearly identical copies of this snoRNA have been identified in Arabidopsis, and it is thought to function as a 2'-O-ribose methylation guide for 18S ribosomal RNA. The record is from Rfam. Lineage: Eukaryota; Viridiplantae; Streptophyta; Magnoliopsida; Malvales; Malvaceae.